This 132-nucleotide ribosomal RNA is filed under the name Frankia sp. AnpUSR. Its description in RNAcentral is "partial 23S ribosomal RNA". It matches the Rfam family "Bacterial large subunit ribosomal RNA", at positions 1 to 131 of the family's 2925-position model. The record is from RNAcentral. Lineage: Bacteria; Bacillati; Actinomycetota; Actinomycetes; Frankiales; Frankiaceae.
GGCCAAGUUAGUAAGGGCGCACGGUGGAUGCCUUGGCACCAGGAGCCGAUGAAGGACGUGGGAGGCUGCGAUAUGCCUCGGGGAGCUGUCAACCGAGCUGUGAUCCGAGGAUUUCCGAAUGGGGAAACCCGG